This 587-nucleotide ribosomal RNA is filed under the name Ameerega trivittata (three-striped poison frog). RNAcentral's name for it is "partial large subunit ribosomal RNA". It matches the Rfam family "Bacterial large subunit ribosomal RNA", at positions 1797 to 2597 of the family's 2925-position model. Lineage: Eukaryota; Metazoa; Chordata; Amphibia; Anura; Dendrobatidae. The record is from RNAcentral.
CGCCUGUUUAUCAAAAACAUCGCCUCUUGUUCAAUUAUAGGAGGUCCAGCCUGCCCAGUGACUCUGUUCAACGGCCGCGGUAUCCUAACCGUGCGAAGGUAGCGUAAUCACUUGUUCUUUAAAUGAGGACUAGUAUGAAUGGCCCCACGAGGGCUGCACUGUCUCCUUUUUCUAAUCAAUGAAACUAAUCUCCCCGUGAAGAAGCGGGAAUUAUCCUAUAAGACGAGAAGACCCUAUGGAGCUUUAAACAAUUGAAACAUUUGCUUUUCUCCUAACUCCUCCCGAGCUCUUUAUUUUUAUUUAAGCAUUAUUAUUUCUAGUUUUAGGUUGGGGUGACCACGGAGCAAAACUAAACCUCCAUGAAGAAAUGAAUAUUUUUAAGCCACAAACUACCUUUUUAAGCAUCAACAAAUUGACCUUCAUUGACCCAAUAUAUUGAUCAACGAACCAAGUUACCCUAGGGAUAACAGCGCAAUCUACUUCAAGAGCUCAUAUCGACAAGUAGGUUUACGACCUCGAUGUUGGAUCAGGGUAUCCUAGUGGUGCAGCCGCUACUAAUGGUUCGUUUGUUCAACGAUUAAAACCCU